RNAcentral lists this ribosomal RNA (460 nucleotides) under uncultured bacterium. RNAcentral describes it as "partial 16S ribosomal RNA". It matches the Rfam family "Bacterial small subunit ribosomal RNA", at positions 338 to 795 of the family's 1533-position model. The record is from RNAcentral.
CCUACGGGAGGCAGCAGUGAGGAAUAUUGGUCAAUGGUCGGGAGACUGAACCAGCCAAGCCGCGUGAGGGAUGAAGGUCCAGAGUAUCGUAAACCUCUUUUGUCAGGGAACAGAGGCGGGGACGUGUCCCCUGCUGAGUGUACCUUACGAAAAAGCAUCGGCUAACUCCGUGCCAGCAGCCGCGGUAAUACGGAGGAUUCGGGCGUUGUCCGGAUUUAUUUGGGUUAAAGGGUGCGCCGUGCGUCUGUUAAGGCAGCUGUCAAAGCCCGGGGCUCAACCCGGGGCCGGCGGUUGAAACUGGCAGUCUCGAGUUGGAGAGAAGUAGGCGGAAUGCGUGGUGUAGCGGUGAAAUGCAUAGAUAUCGCGCAGAACUCCGAUUGCGAAGGCAGCAUGCCGGAUCCACACUGACGCUGAGGCACGAAAGCGUGGGUAUCGAACAGGAUUAGAUACCCCUGUAGUC